This 442-nucleotide ribosomal RNA is filed under the name uncultured bacterium. RNAcentral's name for it is "partial 16S ribosomal RNA". It matches the Rfam family "Bacterial small subunit ribosomal RNA", at positions 339 to 795 of the family's 1533-position model. The record is from RNAcentral.
CUACGCGAGGCAGCAGUGGGGAAUAUUGCACAAUGGAGGAAACUCUGAUGCAGCAACGCCGCGUGAGGGAAGAAGGUUUUCGGAUUGUAAACCUCUGUCCUCGGUGAAGAAAAAAAUGACGGUAGCCGAGGAGGAAGCCACGGCUAACUACGUGCCAGCAGCCGCGGUAAUACGUAGGUGGCAAGCGUUGUCCGGAUUUACUGGGUGUAAAGGGUGCGCAGGCGGGACUGCAAGUUGGAUGUGAAAUGCCGAGGCUCAACCUCGGAGCUGCAUCCAAAACUGUGGUUCUUGAGAGAUGUAGAGGUAAGCGGAAUUCCGAGUGUAGCGGUGAAAUGCGUAGAUAUUCGGAGGAACACCAGUGGCGAAGGCGGCUUACUGGGCAUUUUCUGACGCUGAGGCACGAAAGUGUGGGGAGCAAACAGGAUUAGAUACCCCCGUAGUC